CGGUAGCACAGAGAGCUUGCUCUCGGGUGACGAGUGGCGGACGGGUGAGUAAUGUCUGGGAAACUGCCUGAUGGAGGGGGAUAACUACUGGAAACGGUAGCUAAUACCGCAUAACGUCGCAAGACCAAAGAGGGGGACCUUCGGGCCUCUUGCCAUCAGAUGUGCCCAGAUGGGAUUAGCUAGUAGGUGGGGUAACGGCUCACCUAGGCGACGAUCCCUAGCUGGUCUGAGAGGAUGACCAGCCACACUGGAACUGAGACACGGUCCAGACUCCUACGGGAGGCAGCAGUGGGGAAUAUUGCACAAUGGGCGCAAGCCUGAUGCAGCCAUGCCGCGUGUAUGAAGAAGGCCUUCGGGUUGUAAAGUACUUUCAGCGGGGAGGAAGGCGAUGAGGUUAAUAACCUUGUCGAUUGACGUUACCCGCAGAAGAAGCACCGGCUAACUCCGUGCCAGCAGCCGCGGUAAUACGGAGGGUGCAAGCGUUAAUCGGAAUUACUGGGCGUAAAGCGCACGCAGGCGGUCUGUCAAGUCGGAUGUGAAAUCCCCGGGCUCAACCUGGGAACUGCAUUCGAAACUGGCAGGCUGGAGUCUUGUAGAGGGGGGUAGAAUUCCAGGUGUAGCGGUGAAAUGCGUAGAGAUCUGGAGGAAUACCGGUGGCGAA
RNAcentral lists this ribosomal RNA (661 nucleotides) under Klebsiella sp. Its description in RNAcentral is "bacterial SSU rRNA". It matches the Rfam family "Bacterial small subunit ribosomal RNA", at positions 67 to 719 of the family's 1533-position model. Lineage: Bacteria; Pseudomonadati; Pseudomonadota; Gammaproteobacteria; Enterobacterales; Enterobacteriaceae. The record is from RNAcentral.